Molecule: ribosomal RNA, 253 nt
Filed under: uncultured bacterium
Lineage: Bacteria
Description: partial 16S ribosomal RNA
Rfam family: Bacterial small subunit ribosomal RNA
Source: RNAcentral
UACAGAGGUGGCAAGCGUUGUUCGGAUUUAUUGGGCGUAAAGGGUCCGUAGGCGGUUUGAAAAGUCAGAUGUGAAAUCCCACAGCUUAACUGUGGAACUGCAUUUGAAACUUUCAGACUAGAGUAUGAGAGGGGUUAAGGGAAUUCCCGGUGUAAGGGUGAAAUCUGCAGAGAUCGGGAGGAACACCAGUCGCGAAGGCGCUUAACUGGCUCAUUACUGACGCUCAGGGACGAAAGCUAGGGUAGCAAACGGG